UGAGAGGGAGAGAGAGAGAGAGAGAGAGAGAAAAGAGGAGUUUGAGCUCCAAUUAAGAGGAUUGCUAGAGAACCUGGAGUUUUUGGCUUGGAACUUCAAACAAUUGAUCAUUUAGAGCAUCAUUGAUCAUCUAAGGUGAUCAGGUGUGUAGCCAGGCUCAGCGAUGAUCGCCUGGAUUUCCUUCCUGUCAGCCACCCUUUGUGCCUCCUGAGGAGGUUCUAAUUUAUGAAAAGUUGAGGGGUCAUGUUUUGUGAACUAAGUUUAAAAUUUUAUUUUCUUUUUGUGAAUCUUGAACAAGUUUCGGACUACCAGUAUUUCGAGCUAGUCCCACAUUUGUUUUAUUUGUAUCAGUGGGUAAUGUAAGACUACUAUAAUUAUAACAUCACGUGUAUGUAUAUAUGGUUCUAAAUUAUCUGUCUCUGUUC
This is a non-coding RNA of Camellia sinensis, 425 nucleotides long. The record is from RefSeq and is a predicted model, not a curated record. NCBI's taxonomy places the organism in Eukaryota, Viridiplantae, Streptophyta, Magnoliopsida, Ericales, Theaceae.